Molecule: ribosomal RNA, 484 nt
Filed under: uncultured bacterium
Lineage: Bacteria
Description: partial 16S ribosomal RNA
Rfam family: Bacterial small subunit ribosomal RNA
Source: RNAcentral
AUUGAACGCUGGCGGCAUGCCUUACACAUGCAAGUCGAACGGUAACAGGUCUUUCGGGAUGCUGACGAGUGGCGAACGGGUGAGUAAUACAUCGGAACGUGCCUAGUAGUGGGGGAUAACUACUCGAAAGAGUGGCUAAUACCUCAUGAGAUCUAUGGAUGAAAGCAGGGGACCUUUGGGCCUUGUGCUACUAGAGCGGCCGAUGGCAGAUUAGGUAGUUGGUGGGAUAAAAGCUUACCAAGCCUACGAUCUGUAGCUGGUCUGAGAGGACGAUCAGCCACACUGGGACUGAGACACGGCCCAGACUCCUACGGGAGGCAGCAGUGGGGAAUUUUGGACAAUGGGCGCAAGCCUGAUCCAGCAAUGCCGCGUGCAGGAUGAAGGCCUUCGGGUUGUAAACUGCUUUUGUACGGAACGAAAAGUCUUGGGUUAAUACCCUGGGAUCAUGACGGUACCGUAAGAAUAAGCACCGGCUAACUACGUG